CGGAGGAUCCGAGCGUUAUCCGGAUUUAUUGGGUUUAAAGGGUAGCGUAGGCGGGUUGGUUAAGUCAGUUGUGAAAGUUUAGUCGGCUCAACCGUAAAAUUAGCAGUUGUAUACUGGCGACCUUGAGUGCAACAGAGGUAGGCGGAAUUCGUGGUGUAGCGGUGAAAUGCUUAGAUAUCACGAAGAACUCCGAUUGCGAAGGCAGCUUACUGGAUUGUAACUGACGCUGAUGCUCGAAAGUGUGGGUAUCAAACAGGAUU
Molecule: ribosomal RNA, 260 nt
Filed under: uncultured bacterium
Lineage: Bacteria
Description: partial 16S ribosomal RNA
Rfam family: Bacterial small subunit ribosomal RNA
Source: RNAcentral